UGAGGAAUAUUGCACAAUGGGCGCAAGCCUGAUGCAGCAACGCCGCGUGCGGGACGAAGGCCUUCGGGUCGUAAACCGCUUUUCUGGGGAAAGAGCAAGGACGGUACCUCAGGAAUAAGUCUCGGCUAACUACGUGCCAGCAGCCGCGGUAAAACGUAGGAGGCGAGCGUUAUCCGGAUUUACUGGGCGUAAAGCGCACGCAGGCGGCUCUGUGAGUCGGACGUGAAAGCUCCCGGCUUAACCGGGAGAGGCCGUUCGAUACUGCGGGGCUUGAGGUAGGGAGAGGAAUGCGGAAUUCCCGGUGUAGUGGUGGAAUGCGUAGAUAUAGGGAGGAACACCUGUGGCGAGAGCGGCAUUCUGGCCCUCACCUGACGCUGAGGGGCGAAAGCGUGGGUAGCAAACGG
This 404-nucleotide ribosomal RNA is filed under the name uncultured bacterium. Its description in RNAcentral is "bacterial SSU rRNA". It matches the Rfam family "Bacterial small subunit ribosomal RNA", at positions 355 to 775 of the family's 1533-position model. The record is from RNAcentral.